This 426-nucleotide ribosomal RNA is filed under the name uncultured bacterium. Its description in RNAcentral is "bacterial SSU rRNA". It matches the Rfam family "Bacterial small subunit ribosomal RNA", at positions 29 to 501 of the family's 1533-position model. The record is from RNAcentral.
AACGAACGCUGGCGGCAGGCUUAACACAUGCAAGUCGAACGCCCUCUUCGGAGGGAGUGGCAGACGGGUGAGUAACACGUGGGAAUCUACCUAUCUCUGCGGAACAACACAUAGAAAUGUGUGCUAAUACCGCAUACGCCCUCCGGGGGAAAGAUUUAUCGGAGAUAGAUGAGCCCGCGUUUGAUUAGCUAGUUGGUGAGGUAAUGGCUCACCAAGGCGACGAUCAAUAGCUGGUCUGAGAGGAUGAUCAGCCACACUGGGACUGAGACACGGCCCAGACUCCUACGGGAGGCAGCAGUGGGGAAUAUUGGACAAUGGGCGCAAGCCUGAUCCAGCCAUGCCGCGUGAGUGAUGAAGGCCCUAGGGUUGUAAAGCUCUUUCAACGGUGAAGAUAAUGACGGUAACCGUAGAAGAAGCCCGGCUAAC